This 301-nucleotide ribosomal RNA is filed under the name uncultured bacterium. RNAcentral's name for it is "partial 16S ribosomal RNA". It matches the Rfam family "Bacterial small subunit ribosomal RNA", at positions 509 to 808 of the family's 1533-position model. The record is from RNAcentral.
CAGCAGCCGCGGUAAAACGGAGGGUGCAAGCGUUAAUCGGAUUACUGGGCGUAAAGCGCACGCAGGCGGUUUGUUAAGUCAGAUGUGAAAUCCCCGAGCUUAACUUGGGAACUGCAUUUGAAACUGGCAAGCUAGAGUCUCGUAGAGGGGGGUAGAAUUCCAGGUGUAGCGGUGAAAUGCGUAGAGAUCUGGAGGAAUACCGGUGGCGAAGGCGGCCCCCUGGACGAAGACUGACGCUCAGGUACGAAAGCGUGGGGAGCAAACAGGAUUAGAUACCCGGGUAGUCCCUGUCUCUUAUACA